RNAcentral lists this long non-coding RNA (312 nucleotides) under Elaeis guineensis (African oil palm). RNAcentral's name for it is "long non-coding RNA (EGUI_LNC029224)". The record is from RNAcentral. Lineage: Eukaryota; Viridiplantae; Streptophyta; Magnoliopsida; Arecales; Arecaceae.
UUUGGUUCUUUCUGUUGAAGGUGUUGACGGCAUAUUUUUUUUGCUUUUUGUCUUUCCUGGGGUUUAGAUAAUUUCAGACUUUGUAUAUUCCGAUCUUUCUGCUUUACAUGGCUGUGUAAUAAUCUCUACAUUCUCUUUCACUUCUAAAUAAAAUUUGGUGAGUAAUGGGGAAUCUCUCAUUAUUCUCCCUCCUUGUCCAAAAAAAAUUUAUCUGGACUCAAUCCAAUCUGGAUUUGACCUCGCCAAUCCAUUGCCACUCCAACCCACUUGUGUCACGGUUUAUAAAGUCCCAAUUCACCUUUCCAAAGAUAA